GACGAACGCUGGCGGCGUGCUUAACACAUGCAAGUCGAACGGAAAGGCCCUGCUUUUGUGGGGUGCUCGAGUGGCGAACGGGUGAGUAACACGUGAGUAACCUGCCCUUGACUUUGGGAUAACUUCAGGAAACUGGGGCUAAUACCGGAUAGGAGCUCCUGCUGCAUGGUGGGGGUUGGAAAGUUUCGGCGGUUGGGGAUGGACUCGCGGCUUAUCAGCUUGUUGGUGGGGUAGUGGCUUACCAAGGCUUUGACGGGUAGCCGGCCUGAGAGGGUGACCGGCCACAUUGGGACUGAGAUACGGCCCAGACUCCUACGGGAGGCAGCAGUGGGGAAUAUUGCACAAUGGGCGGAAGCCUGAUGCAGCAACGCCGCGUGCGGGAUGACGGCCUUCGGGUUGUAAACCGCCUUCGCCUGUGGCGAAGCGUGAGUGACGGUAAUGGGUAAAGAAGCACCGGCUAACUACGUG
Molecule: ribosomal RNA, 468 nt
Filed under: uncultured bacterium
Lineage: Bacteria
Description: partial 16S ribosomal RNA
Rfam family: Bacterial small subunit ribosomal RNA
Source: RNAcentral